Molecule: ribosomal RNA, 254 nt
Filed under: uncultured bacterium
Lineage: Bacteria
Description: partial 16S ribosomal RNA
Rfam family: Bacterial small subunit ribosomal RNA
Source: RNAcentral
UACGGAGGGUGCAAGCGUUGUCCGGAAUCACUGGGCGUAAAGGGCGCGUAGGCGGCCCGGUAAGUAGGGGGUGAAAUCCUGCGGCUUAACCGCAGGGCUGCCUUCUAAACUGUCGGGCUCGAGCACGGUAGAGGCAGAUGGAAUUCCCGGUGUAGCGGUGGAAUGCGUAGAGAUCGGGAAGAACAUCAGUGGCGAAGGCGGUCUGCUGGGCCGUUGCUGACGCUGAGGCGCGACAGCGUGGGGAGCAAACAGGG